CUUGGUCAUUUAGAGGAAGUAAAAGUCGUAACAAGGUCUCCGUAGGUGAACCUGCGGAGGGAUCAUUAUCGUCAGGGAGCUUCGGCCCCGUCGAGAUAGCACCCUUGUCCUCUUCGGCGCACUUGUCUUUGUUUCCUCGGGCGGCUUGUCCGACGGAACCUCCAUCAAAACCUUUUGUAGUGCCUGUAUUAGUCUGAUACCAACAAAAAAAUCUUAACAACUUUCAACAAUGGAUCUCUUGGUUCUGGCAUCGAUGAAGAACGCAGCGAAAUGCGAUAAGUAGUGUGAAUUGCAGAAUUCAGUGAAUCAUCGAAUCUUUGAACGCACAUUGCGCCCUUUGGUUAUUCCUCAGGGCAUGCUUGUUCGAGCGUCAUUCUCACCCUCCAAGCCCCGCUUGGCCAUGGGUGCCUUGUCCCGCCACCGCGCGCGGACUCGCCCCAAACCUACCGGCGGCCGACCCCGUAAGCCUGAGCGCAGCAGAAACGCGCCUCUGGGCGGCAGGGCGCGGCAGGCCUUGUAAAAUGACCCCCCUCGAAGGACCUCGAAUCAAGCAGGAGUACCCGCUGAACUUAAGCAUAUCAAUAAGCGGAGGA
Molecule: ribosomal RNA, 593 nt
Filed under: uncultured Massarina
Lineage: Eukaryota; Fungi; Ascomycota; Dothideomycetes; Pleosporales; Massarinaceae
Description: eukaryotic LSU rRNA
Rfam family: 5.8S ribosomal RNA (bases 219-373)
Source: RNAcentral